AGGGCGAGGGAAAACCGGACAAGCGACCUCUCCGUAUCUGAUCUUGAAGACUUCCACUGCGUGUCCCUCUGUACAGCUUUGCAGGCUCCGGCCUCGGCAGCGGGGGGUUCAUAGUGGUCGUCGACCUCCACGAAACUGCUCGCUCCGGCGUGACAGCGUACUGGGGAUGCCUGUGUUUACGCAGUCCGGGCUUGCCUGGACCGCCAGCAGAUGGGCUCUGUGGAUGACUGGCCGCUGGCUAGACCUGAAACCUGAGCAACGGGAGGUAACCUCUCGCCGUGGACACCGGAAUGGUAGAAGCGGCGUGCUGCGUCCUCCUCUUGGGGCCCCUAAGCCACACCUCCCACAGCGGGCUCGGUGCGGCGGACGGACGCCCUGGGGAAUUUAGAGGGGGAAAGCGGAUUGCCCUAGCGGUGUUGUUGGCCCUGCCGACCUCACUGCGAAAGGCGCGA
Molecule: ribosomal RNA, 452 nt
Filed under: Fusarium subglutinans
Lineage: Eukaryota; Fungi; Ascomycota; Sordariomycetes; Hypocreales; Nectriaceae
Description: partial 28S ribosomal RNA
Source: RNAcentral